This 497-nucleotide ribosomal RNA is filed under the name uncultured bacterium. Its description in RNAcentral is "partial 16S ribosomal RNA". It matches the Rfam family "Bacterial small subunit ribosomal RNA", at positions 28 to 507 of the family's 1533-position model. The record is from RNAcentral.
GAUGAACGCUGGCGGCGUGCCUAAUACAUGCAAGUCGAGCGAACAGACGAGGAGCUUGCUCCUCUGACGUUAGCGGCGGACGGGUGAGUAACACGUGGAUAACCUACCUAUAAGACUGGGAUAACUUCGGGAAACCGGAGCUAAUACCGGAUAAUAUAUUGAACCGCAUGGUUCAAUAGUGAAAGACGGUUUUGCUGUCACUUAUAGAUGGAUCCGCGCCGCAUUAGCUAGUUGGUAAGGUAACGGCUUACCAAGGCAACGAUGCGUAGCCGACCUGAGAGGGUGAUCGGCCACACUGGAACUGAGACACGGUCCAGACUCCUACGGGAGGCAGCAGUAGGGAAUCUUCCGCAAUGGGCGAAAGCCUGACGGAGCAACGCCGCGUGAGAGAUGAAGGUCUUCGGAUCGUAAAACUCUGUUAUUAGGGAAGAACAAAUGUGUAAGUAACUAUGCACGUCUUGACAGUACCUAAUCAGAAAGCCACGGCUAACUACGUG